RNAcentral lists this unclassified non-coding RNA (395 nucleotides) under soil metagenome. RNAcentral describes it as "partial contains 5.8S ribosomal RNA, internal transcribed spacer 2, and large subunit ribosomal RNA". The stretch from base 1 to 120 matches the Rfam family "5.8S ribosomal RNA", at positions 35 to 154 of the family's 154-position model. The record is from RNAcentral.
GAUGAAGAACGCAGCGAAAUGCGAUAAGUAAUGUGAAUUGCAGAAUUCAGUGAAUCAUCGAAUCUUUGAACGCACCUUGCGCCUUUUGGUAUUCCGAAAGGCACACCUGUUUGAGCGUCAUCAAUACCUCAAUCUCCAUCUUUUCUUCGGAUUGAUGGGUGACUUGGAUGUUGAGCCCUGCUGGUAUGCUAUAUCAGCUGGCUUUAAACUUAUUAGCCGGCUCUGUACUGGAUCGGUUUGACUCGACGUGAUAAUAUUAUCGUUGAGGAUGCAUGUCUCAUGCAGCCGGAAAGUAUCAAAGCAGCUUCUAGCUUGCCUUUAGUGCACUUUUACAUUUUAGACCUCAGAUCAGGUGGGACUACCCGCUGAACUUAAGCAUAUCAAUAAGCGGAGGA